ACCGGCGGGUGUAGCGGCCCGCUGUGAACCAAGCGGUGGUCGGUCAGGUGGCGAAAUGAAGUCUGCUGGGGCCUGCCCGCAUAACUGGGGGAAGUGCUCCGUCCUUUGCGAACCCGCAGCCCCCCGAGGGGCCCGCACGGAGGUGUGGGCCUCGCGGGAGAUGAUGCGGGGCGGACCGCCCGAGGCUGGGAACAGAGCAGGGAAAAGCCCCCACUGUGGUGAGUGCAGGGACCGCGGAACUGCCCGCUGCGGGGUCUGGCGCCAGACAGACAGCUUCCACACCAGGCUUU
This is a non-coding RNA of Eimeria tenella, 290 nucleotides long. Lineage: Eukaryota; Apicomplexa; Conoidasida; Eucoccidiorida; Eimeriidae. The record is from Rfam.